This 253-nucleotide ribosomal RNA is filed under the name uncultured bacterium. Its description in RNAcentral is "partial 16S ribosomal RNA". It matches the Rfam family "Bacterial small subunit ribosomal RNA", at positions 524 to 776 of the family's 1533-position model. The record is from RNAcentral.
UACGGGGGGAGCAAGCGUUGUUCGGAUUUACUGGGCGUAAAGGGCGCGUAGGCGGCGCAACAAGUCACUUGUGAAAUCUCCGGGCUUAACCCGGAGCGGUCAAGUGAUACUGUCGUGCUAGAGUGCGGAAGGGGCUACUGGAAUUCUCGGUGUAGCGGUGAAAUGCGUAGAUAUCGAGAGGAACACCUGCGGCGAAGGCGGGUAGCUGGGCCGACACUGACGCUGAUGCGCGAAAGCUAGGGUAGCAAACGGG